RNAcentral lists this ribosomal RNA (374 nucleotides) under uncultured bacterium. Its description in RNAcentral is "bacterial SSU rRNA". It matches the Rfam family "Bacterial small subunit ribosomal RNA", at positions 1133 to 1506 of the family's 1533-position model. The record is from RNAcentral.
UCUCACUCUAGCGAGACUGCCGUUGACAAAACGGAGGAAGGCGGGGACGACGUCAAAUCAUCAUGCCCCUUAUGUCCCGGGCUACACACGUAAUACAAUGGCGGUCAACAGAGGGAAGCAAAACCGCGAGGCAGAGCAAACCCCUAAAAGCCGUCUCAGUUCGGAUUGCAGGCUGCAACUCGCCUGCAUGAAGUUGGAAUUGCUAGUAAUCGUGGAUCAGCAUGCCACGGUGAAUACGUUCCCGGGCCUUGUACACACCGCCCGUCACACCAUGAGAGUUGGGAACACCCGAAGUCCGUAGUCUAACCGCAAGGAGGGCGCGGCCGAAGGUGGGCCUGAUAAUUGGGGUGAAGUCGUAACAAGGUAACCGUAAA